UACGCUAGUCUCGGGACUUAUUGAACGAUGUCUUACAUGGUACCCAACGCGGUGUAUGUGUGUGCGUUGGCCAUUGCACUGUCAGUUCGGUUUGUUUUGAUCCCGGCGCUGAUGGCAUCUUAGCAAGUCGCAGUAAAUUCGCCAAAUGUCUGCAGAAGGUAUCGCCGAAAGAAUUUGCUGCAGGAGGAUGCCGUAAAUGUUUGUAAGUACCACGAAGUGAGCUGAGCAACGUCCCGUCUCGAGAAGGAAGCGCGUGAAAUGGUGCCGUAGGACGCUGGAGAAGUAUAGUGAUGUGCAUGUGAUAAUUAUAGUGUUGUUUUUAUCGUGUUAUACGAUUUGUGAGAA
This is a long non-coding RNA of Anopheles cruzii, 345 nucleotides long. RefSeq lists it as uncharacterized. Lineage: Eukaryota; Metazoa; Arthropoda; Insecta; Diptera; Culicidae. The transcript has 4 exons. The record is from RefSeq and is a predicted model, not a curated record.